This 326-nucleotide ribosomal RNA is filed under the name uncultured eukaryote. RNAcentral describes it as "partial 18S ribosomal RNA". It matches the Rfam family "Eukaryotic small subunit ribosomal RNA", at positions 1470 to 1796 of the family's 1831-position model. The record is from RNAcentral.
CCCUUAGAUGUUCUGGGCCGCACGCGCGCUACACUGAUGCAUUCAACAAGCCUAGCCUUGACCGAGAGGUCCGGGUAAUCUUUGAAACUGCAUCGUGAUGGGGCUAGAUUAUUGCAAUUAUUAAUCUUCAACGAGGAAUGUCUAGUAAGCGUGAUUCAUCAAAUCGCGUUGAUUACGUCCCUGCCCUUUGUACACACCGCCCGUCGCUCCUACCGAUUGAAUGUGUUGGUGAGGAGCUCGGAUUGGCAGCAGUUGGUGGUUCGCCACCGGCUAUUGCUGAGAAGUCCUCCAAACCGCCCCAUUUAGAGGAAGGAGAAGUCGUAACA